GACAGAUAUGUGGAAGUUGAUGCAAAACACCAUCUCCACCAGAACUCUGCUAAGAUUCCAGACCAAAUUGAUAUUUGGCUUGAGUUAGCUGGAUGAGCAUCUCAAUUCUCCAGUUUGUCUGUAGAGGCACUUCUGCUUCCCUUUUCCCCACAUGGGAUGCAGUAGAGCCAGAUAAACCACUUGAACUUGUUUUGAUAAAUGUGCCAGGUGCUAAGCUCAGGGUUAUUAGGAAUAAUAAUUCAGUGAAAGGAAAUUUGGAUGACAUGAACUCAUUUCCAUUAGACUUGAGCCACACAAAUCAAUGGGAAAAGAAACAGCUGAAUCCAGGAUAGAAUCCAGGAUACUAUCUGGCUAUUUGGAGUGGGCAUGGUAAUGGAAGGAGAUUGGGGAGGUAACAAACCAGUUGCUAUUUAAUUAAGUUCAAGUCAGGUCAAAUUCAGGACCAAUGGGGCUUGGCCAGUAUCGUCAAGCACCCAGGUAUUAUCAAAACCCAAGUCUUUGUCUCACUCAUGGGCCACACCCUUCCCAGAGAUUUGACCAAUUUUCAGACCAACUCAAAUGUGACUACAUACCCUGACACUGAAGAAGCUCAAACCAAACAACAAACCCAAGUCUUCCGUGUGGCACGUUCUUCACAUCAUAACACCUUUCUCAGGACCCUAGUUCUCAGAAUGGACCUGGCUCUCCCAGGGAUCCUAGAAUGCAAGCACAGUGAUUGCAAACUAAACCAUUUGAGGGAAACUCCUCCAGUAAGCACCCUUCAUGGUCACAAUGUAAACCCUGCAGGGGCAGAAAAGAAGCUUUGGGUGGGGUCAGAAAGCCAUUUCCUCCACAAUCAAAGUUCCUUACUGUUGUCCUAGUAGGGGCAACCUUAUCUUUAGUUACCUUUUCCGGUCCUCUCUUGCAAGCCCUCUCCCUAUCAGCUGAAAAUUAGUGGAUGCAGCUAGAGCUGUGAAACACAUAAAUAAUCAUAAGAUGCCAGAUAAACUGUAUUGGUUUUAAAUUAGAGACGUGCCAACCAUGUCUCCCUCUGAACAGCAGCCUAUUAUUUUUAAUUAUGGCUUGCAAAGUGAUUUCUUGCCCUCUUUACAGCAUCCCUGACAGUAUUGUCAGUUUGGACGAUAUGAUGCCCCAACAGUGCACACAUCCCCAGCCACAGCCCCAACUGUUACUCAAAAGGUGAACAAAAGUGAUCAGUUGCACUCUUUGCAACUUACAUUCUGAAGUGGGCUGGAAAGAAAUGUACCCCCUUACCCAUGAUCCCAUUGUAAAUCUGGGACAAAUACGACAUUUAGAAAAAGGUUUUCACGGUAUCCAGAUGAAUUAAUUAAUGUGUUAUGUAUUUGUGCUAGGUGUGGAUGUAUGAUGAGUAUGUAUGUGUGUGCAUUAAAUGUUUUAACACAGCAUUGCACAUCCUUCCCCUAGCAGCACCGUGGGCAAAGCAUAAACGGAUGAUCUGGCACCAGCCCCAAUUGGGUUUUCUACCUGAUGGACCAUAAUUAAGAGUGGUUGAUUUGUCAGAAGAUUCUUCAAACGAUGUGGUAUCGAAUUACAUUAUAGAUACAUGGAGAAGUCGAGGGGUUGGGUGAAUUUGUUCUUGCACGUUCAGAAGGUACCAUCUUUUUCUCUGCGUGGAAGAGGCGCCUGCCGCGACGUAUUGAUAUGUGUAUUUCUUUUCCAAGCCUGUUCCUAUAUGAGGUGUCAAAAGUCACACCAGCUUUACAAGCGGAGUUUAUGAACUCGUUUUUCCAGGUUACUCACAUUAUGCUUUUUACCGUCAUGUGCUUUCAGCCCAGUACGCUUCGCUAUGCCAAGAUCCAGCUGAAACCGAACCACAUGGGGGAGGCUCGCUACUGCCCAGGCAGUUGAAAUGAUGUCGUUUCGUCGUUCCUUUUCUUACAACUUUGUCUUUCUUCUUGGAUUUCCAGCAACAGGGAGCUGCCACCACCGUGUACUGUGCUGCUGCCCCAGAACUGGAGGGUCUGGGAGGGAUGUAUUUCAACAACUGCUGCCGCUGCAUGCCCUCGCCAGAAGCACAGAGCGAAGAGACGGCCCGGGCCCUGUGGGCACUCAGUGAGAGGCUCAUCCAAGAACGACUUGGCAGCCAGUCCGGCUGAGAGGAGCCCGGAGUGGAUGGGCGCAGACACCCGCCCUGUGUGUGUCCGCUCACGCAAGUGCCAGAGCUGGGCCCCUUCCAAAUGUCCCUCCAACACAGAUCCGCAAGAGUGAAGGAAAUAAGAGCAGUCACAACAGAGUGAAAAAUGUUAAGUACCAAUGGGAAGCAGGGAAUUCCUGGGGGUAAAGUAUCACUUUUCUGGGGCUGGGCUAGGCCUAAGGUCUCUUUGCUUUCUCAUGGGGGCCUGUUUGAAAGUAUAAAACCUGGUUGGUGUGUAGGUUCUGUAUCUCCCUGGAGAAGCACCAGCAAUUGUCUUUCUUUUACUGUUGAAUAGCCUGAGGUCCCCUCGUCCCAUCCAGCUAGCACCACGGCCACCACUGCAGCCCGGGGCUGGCUUUCUCCUACUUAGGGAGGAAAAAGUAACUGUUCACUGCUCCUUGCUGCAUUGAUCCAGGAGAUAAUCGUUUCAUUCAUCCUCACCAAGCCUGAGCCAGUUUAGCAACUGCUGGGGAGACAAAUCCCAGAACCUUGUCCCAGCCAGCCAGGAUGGCGGUGGCACCCAGACAGAGUAGAAUAUGCAGAGCUACCAGGUGGCAAAGUACUUGUCACAGACUCCCUCGCCACUGCUAUACAAAAAAUUAUUUAAAGAUGAUAACAAAUUUUUCAAAUCAUUCCUUAGAUACCUUGAGACUCAGGAAGGGAAGCGUGUGUACUUAAGAAUACACAGGAUCUUUUGAGGGGCGGAGAAUAAAAAGUUAAUCCCUUUGUCCCUCAGUCACAGUCUCCGUUCUCUUGCUUUCACAUUCUGCUGUGCCUCCCAUCCUAUGCUUAAUAAAAGAACAUGCUUGAAUAUGA
This is a non-coding RNA of Chlorocebus sabaeus (green monkey), 2971 nucleotides long. The record is from RefSeq and is a predicted model, not a curated record. Lineage: Eukaryota; Metazoa; Chordata; Mammalia; Primates; Cercopithecidae.